Kogia breviceps (pygmy sperm whale) is the source of this 514-nucleotide non-coding RNA. The record is from RefSeq and is a predicted model, not a curated record. NCBI's taxonomy places the organism in Eukaryota, Metazoa, Chordata, Mammalia, Artiodactyla, Physeteridae.
CUGUGGGAGCUGGCACAAGAGUAGAGCCACUGAUGAGACCAUGAAACCUCAGGAAACCUGCCACACACCCCAUCGAAAAAUUCGAGAAAACUGAGGCUCAGAGAAGUCAGGUAACUUGCCUAAAGUCACAAAGCUGCUCUUCCGUACCAACAUCUGCAAACCCUGUUUUAAAAGAAGAGCCAAGGGCUUCCCUGGUGGCACAGUGGUUAAGAAUCCACCUGCCAAUGCAUGGGACACGUGCCCUGGUCCGGGAAGAUCCCACAUGCCAUGGAGCAACUAAGCCCGUGCGCCACAAAUACUGAGCCUGCCCUCUGGAGCCGGCGAGCCACAACUACUGAGCCUGCAUGCCACAGCUACUGAAGCCCAUGCACGUGGAGCCCGUGCUCCGCAACAAGAGAAGCCACUGCAAUGAGAAGCCUGCGCACCGCAACGAAGAGUAGCCCCCACUCGCCGCAACUAGAGAAAGCCCGCGUGCAGCAACGAAGACCCAACACAGUCAAAAAUAAAUAAAAUA